Molecule: ribosomal RNA, 481 nt
Filed under: uncultured bacterium
Lineage: Bacteria
Description: partial 16S ribosomal RNA
Rfam family: Bacterial small subunit ribosomal RNA
Source: RNAcentral
GACGAACGUUGGCGGCGUGCUUAAUACAUGCAAGUCAACUGAAGCAGUGGUAGCAAUAUCGCUGUGGAGGUGGCGCACGGGUGAGUAACACGUAGGUAAUCUGCCUUCAGGUCUGGCAUAACUCCGGGAAACCGGGGCUAAUAGCAGAUGAUGCAGCGGCUCGACAUCGAGACAGUUGUUAAAGCUAUGGCGCCUGAAGAUGAGCCUGCGUCUGAUUAGCUAGUUGGCGGGGUAACGGCCCACCAAGGCAACGAUCAGUAGCUGGUCUGAGAGGAUGAUCAGACACACUGGAACUGAGACACGGUCCAGACUACUACGGGAGGCAGCAGUAAGGAAUAUUGCUCAAUGGGAGAAAUCCUGAAGCAGCAACGCCGCGUGAGGGACGAAGGGCUUUUGCUUGUAAACCUCUGUAGUGAGAGAAAAAAAUCCCAAUCUUUGGGACAUGAUGGUAUCUCAAAAGUAAGCCCCGGCUAACUACGUG